Non-coding RNA from Populus trichocarpa (black cottonwood), 129 nucleotides. Lineage: Eukaryota; Viridiplantae; Streptophyta; Magnoliopsida; Malpighiales; Salicaceae. The record is from Rfam.
UAAUUUAUCUAGGGCAGAUCCUUAUUUAAUCAUGACAGACCCAUAUCUGGUUGCCCAGCAUCACCCGUUAUCGCAAGCUUAACUACAUCAUUCUUUCCGGGUUAGAGAGAACUCGUCCUCGAGUUUUGU